RNAcentral lists this ribosomal RNA (1018 nucleotides) under uncultured Basidiomycota. Its description in RNAcentral is "eukaryotic LSU rRNA". The stretch from base 332 to 1018 matches the Rfam family "Eukaryotic large subunit ribosomal RNA", at positions 1 to 664 of the family's 3401-position model. The record is from RNAcentral. Lineage: Eukaryota; Fungi; Basidiomycota.
AUCGAUGAAGAACGCAGCGAAAUGCGAUAAGUAAUGUGAAUUGCAGAAUUCAGUGAAUCAUCGAAUCUUUGAACGCAUCUUGCGCUCCUUGGUAUUCCGAGGAGCAUGCCUGUUUGAGUGUCAUUUGACUUAUCAACCACUUCAAUGUCUGAACGUGGCUUGGAUGUGGAGGUCUUUGCAGGCUUUCUCCGUCUUGGGAAAAGGUCGGCUCCUCUGAAACAUAUUAGUGGCAUCUGAGCUGCUACCAUAGGUGUGAUAACUAUCUAUGCCUUUUGGUAUGCUGCAUGAACAGAUUGCGCUGCUUAGAACUCGAAAACAAACAUGACAAACUUGACCUCAAAUCAGGUAGGACUACCCGCUGAACUUAAGCAUAUCAAUAAGCGGAGGAAAAGAAACUAACAAGGAUUCCCCUAGUAACUGCGAGUGAAGCGGGAAAAGCUCAAAUUUGAAAUCUGGCGGUUCCUUGGACUGUCCGAGUUGUAAUCUAGAGAAGUGUUACCUGUGCUGGACCGUGUACAAGUCUCCUGGAAUGGAGCAUCACAGAGGGUGAGAAUCCCGUCUUUGACACGGACUGCCUGUGCGAUAUGGUGCGCUCUCGAAGAGUCGAGUUGUUUGGGAAUGCAGCUCAAAAUGGGUGGUAAAUGCCAUCUAAAGCUAAAUAUUGGCGAGAGACCGAUAGCGAACAAGUACCGUGAGGGAAAGAUGAAAAGAACUUUGGAAAGAGAGUUAAACAGUACGUGAAAUUGCUGAAAGGGAAACGCUUGAAGUCAGUCGCGUCGGCUAGAAAUCAGUCUUGCUCUUGCUUGAUGUACUUUCUGGCUCGACGGGUCAGCAUCAAUUUUGACCGCCGGAUAAAGUCAUCGGGAAUGUGGCAUCUCAGGAUGUGUUAUAGCCCGUUGUCGCAUACGGUGGUUGGGAUUGAGGAACUCAGCACGCCGCGAGGCCGGGUCUUUCUUUGACCACGUUCGUGCUUAGGAUGCUGGCAUAAUGGCUUUAAUCGACCCGUCUUGAAACACGG